RNAcentral lists this ribosomal RNA (1130 nucleotides) under Bertia didyma. RNAcentral describes it as "eukaryotic LSU rRNA". It matches the Rfam family "Eukaryotic large subunit ribosomal RNA", at positions 22 to 1155 of the family's 3401-position model. The record is from RNAcentral. Lineage: Eukaryota; Fungi; Ascomycota; Sordariomycetes; Coronophorales; Bertiaceae.
GUACCCGCUGAACUUAAGCAUAUCAAUAAGCGGAGGAAAAGAAACCAACAGGGAUUGCCCCAGUAACGGCGAGUGAAGCGGCACCAGCCCAGAUUUGAAAUCCGGUCUCCGUAUUCUGGGGACUUGAGUUGUAAUCUGCAGAGGGUGCCCCGGGUGUAGCCAGCCGCCGAGUUCCCUGGGACGGGACGCCGUAGAGGGUGAGAGCCCCGUGCGGCGGCGUGGUAAGCCUACAAGGGGCCCCUUCGGAGAGUCGCGUAGCUUGGGAAUGCUGCGCAAAGCGGGAGGUAUACCCCUUCUAAGGCUAAAUACCGGCCGGAGACCGAUAGCGCACAAGUAGAGUGAUCGAAAGAUGAAAAGCACCUUGGAAAGGGGGUCAAACAGUACGUGAAAUUGCUGAGGGGGAAGCGCCUGCCCUCAGACUCGGGCCCUGCGGCUAUCACCUGGCCCCAUGCGGGCCAGGGCAUUCCGUAGGGCCUGGGCCAGCGCCGGCUGGCCUCCCAGGGCGUAAAGGCACUGGGAAUGUUGCCGCCCUUCUGGGCGGUGUUAUAGCCCAGUGCGUAAUGCCCCGGGGCCGGCCGAGGCCCUCGCUUUGGCAAGGGCGACUGGCCAUAAUGGGGGCCGGCGGCCCGUCUUGAAACACGGAUCCAAGGAGUCGUCCUCGCGCGCGAGUGCUCGGGUGUCAAGCCCAGGCGCGUAGUGAAAGCGAACGCUGGUGGGAGCCCCUUGGGGCGCACCACCGACCGAUCCGGAGGUCCUCCGAAGGAUUUGAGUAGGAGCGCGCGGGGCCGGACCCGAAAGAGGGUGAACUAUGCGUGGGUAGGGCGAAGCCAGGGGAAACCCUGGUGGAGGCUCGCAGCGGUUCUGACGUGCAAAUCGAUCGUCAAACCUGGCAUGGGGGCGAAAGACUAAUCGAACCUUCUAGUAGCUGGUUUCCGCCGAAGUUUCCCUCAGGAUAGCAGUGUCGAGCUCAGUUUUAUGAGGUAAAGCGAAUGAUUAGGGACUCGGGGGCGACGUACUGCCUUCAUCCAUUCUCAAACUUUAAAUAUGUAAGAAGCCCUUGUUUCUUUAGUGAACGUGGGCGCUCGAAUGUACCGACACUAGUGGGCCAUUUUUGGUAAGCAGAACUGGCG